RNAcentral lists this ribosomal RNA (493 nucleotides) under uncultured bacterium. Its description in RNAcentral is "bacterial SSU rRNA". It matches the Rfam family "Bacterial small subunit ribosomal RNA", at positions 903 to 1397 of the family's 1533-position model. The record is from RNAcentral.
AAAGGAAUAGACGGGGGCCCGCACAAGCGGUGGAGCAUGUGGUUUAAUUCGAAGCAACGCGAAGAACCUUACCAGGUCUUGACAUCUUCUGACAAACCUAGAGAUAGGCCGUUCCCUUCGGGGACAGAAUGACAGGUGGUGCAUGGUUGUCGUCAGCUCGUGUCGUGAGAUGUUGGGUUAAGUCCCGCAACGAGCGCAACCCUUAUUAUUAGUUGCCAGCAUUUAGUUGGGCACUCUAAUGAGACUGCCGGUGACAAACCGGAGGAAGGUGGGGAUGACGUCAAAUCAUCAUGCCCCUUAUGACCUGGGCUACACACGUGCUACAAUGGACGGUACAACGAGUUGCGAGACCGCGAGGUUAAGCUAAUCUCUUAAAGCCGUUCUCAGUUCGGAUUGUAGGCUGCAACUCGCCUACAUGAAGUUGGAAUCGCUAGUAAUCGCGGAUCAGAAUGCCGCGGUGAAUACGUUCCCGGGCCUUGUACACACCGCCCGU